AUGGGGGACUAUCUUGUCUGUCUUCCGAUAUUCACCUAUGAGCUUCACAUUUGUUCAAAAGGACUGUGGGAGAAUGAAUUUCGUAGAGCUCACAGAGUAAUAAUAAUAAGGAUCAACGGUUGGAAGCUAUGUCUUUGAAGAGAGGUUACAUGAGUGGAAGUGAUUUUAUUUAAAGGAAACAUAGAAAUACUCAGGAAGGGCGGAUCUAAUGAAACACAAUGCAGCAUGCUACGUGAAGUAGGUCUGUAUGUAGGCUGAGUGGUUUCUCUUCUCCAUGCGCCUAUCAGCCCAGAGGCUGAUCCUGUCUAAUGCCUCCCUUCAAGUCCAGCAUUAUCUCUGAUGCUAGAACUAAGGCCAGCAGUCAUUCACUGCCUCUAUAGCAACAUCAAAGUUAUACUCACCCCUUUUAAGACUAUCACUAAAUAAAUGCUUACUGCAUAUCAGGCAAUGAGCCAAGUGCACUUCAUGUAUCAUUCAUACACUCAGUAAAUAUUUUUCAAGUGCCUCUUGUGUGCCAGGCAGCCUACCCUUGGUAUUUUGAAUAUGUUAGUGAAUAAUACAGACAGAAAAUCUUGCCUCAUAGAACUGAUACACUAGUGAGCAGAGAUAGAUAACAAACAUAAUCAAUAAGUAAGUUAUAGAGUGCAUAGGAAGGUGGUAAAUGUGAGAAAAAAGAGCAGGGAAAGUGGAAAGAGUAUGUGUGUAUUAGGGGAGGUGGGAUGUCAUCUUAAAUGCAUUGGUCAGGAUGGACUUUACUGAGAAGGUGAUAUGUGAGCAAAGAUUUGAAGCUCAUGAGCUAGGUAACAAUGUGGAUAUCUGGACAAAGAGCAUGUUGACCAGAAGAAACAAUUAUCUUAGAGGCUCUAGGUCAAGAAUGUGUUUGUUGAGUUUGAGAAGCAGUAGAAAUCAGAAUGGCUGAGCACUGGGGCUUGAGGACUGAUUUUAUGGGGGCUUUGGACCAUGAAAAGGACUUUGACUUGGAAUAAAAUAGGGAGCAGCUGGAGGAUUUGAGCAGAGAGGUGUCAUGUAUGACAUUUUAAAAGGAUCACUCUGGAAAGGGAAACAAGAGUGGAAUCAGGGUAAUGAGCUAGGAUGUGAUUGUUCCUAUAUAAUAAGGCAGGUGAGCAAAGAUCCGGGACUCAGAGCAAAUAGUAACGAAAGAAGCCAUGAGAAUUCAUCAGAAACUGGAUAUUUGUCCUGAACACAGAGCAGCAGGCUUAUCUGGAAGUGUUGUGUGAGAAAGAGGGGAAUCAAGGAUGACUCUAAGAUUUAUUAAAUGCAAUUAACCUUUACAGCUAGAUAGGUUAUGUUAUCAUCUCUAUUUUACAGCUGUGGAAACUGAAGCUUAGGGAGAUAUUAACUUUAGAAUAUUUAGCUAGUAAGCAUCAGAGCUGGGAUUUGAACCCACUUUUGUCUGAGUCCAAAGGCUGGGCCUCUUAACCAUAAUGCUGUAUGGCAUCUAGAGGCAUUGAUCUAUUACUGAGCACUCUGACCUAAGAUCUCCGAGAAACGGAUCUCAGGUGUGUUUUCCCAUUACUCAGUACCUAUUUUGAACACCAAUUUCCAUUAACAUGCUUCCAUGCUUUAAACCCUAGUUUGCUAGUGACUAUACUCCUACCCCCCAACACUUUCUCUUCUUAGAGUUUCCCACUUCUGAAGCCUGUUGCUUGCUUAGCUUUCUCAAUCUCCUGGCCACCAGAGCAUCUAUAAUUGGCUUGAUUUGUUCCAUGAUUUUGAACCCAAUUUAGACUUCUGCCAAAAGUGUUCCCCAUUGGUAAACUUUCACAUUCUAGAACUAUUUUCUAAUGUAUUUGUCCUCUUAGACCCAUCUUAUUUUUGGCCACACCCACAGAAUGUGGAACUUCUCAGGCCAAGGAUGGAACCUGCGCCAUAGCUGUGACCCAAGCCACUGAAGUGACAACACUGGAUCCUUAACCCACUGUGUCACAAGAGAACUCUAUCUCUUAGAGCCAUUUUAGAUUAACUGACUCCUGAAUGCUUAAAAAAGGAAAACCGUGUGAUUUUCCUUGAGGAGGAGGGAAGCGUAUCGGACUGGGAGCCAUGCUGACAGUGACAUCCUUGGGAUCACUACAUUUUCCCCAGUCAUGAUGGGUGAGAAAGGUAUGACAAAAACAACCAGCUUAGAGGCCACCAGACAGGACAAAUUCUGAUUUGUUGGCUAGUGACACCUGGCUUCCAGGAAGCCUUGCCCAUGUUUUACCUUCUUCAACUUGAGCAACUUUGUGUCUCCUUAUAUCUCCCUUGGCCGCUUCAAGCAAACUUGUAAUGAGCUAAUGGCAUUACCUGAAAAACCAGCAUUGAAAUUCCUCCUACAGAGUAAACUCUCAACCCUGGGGGAAAUAUGUGAUAGGUGCUUAGGGCAGAAGAUGAGUAUCUCAAUGGCUGGGGCGUCUCAUAGGAGGGUGAAACUGCCAAGCACAGUGGAGAGAAAGUGAAGCUCCUGGUUGAUGGUGGAGGAGGAGAAGGGGAGCAGAGAUGAACAAAGGUGGACAAGGGUGAGGAAAGAUAAAGCCAUUGAACUAGAAGAAGGCUAUUGAUGACACAGUAUGACUCUUCACACUGCAUCACCACAGCUUACAAUCACCACCAAAAUCUACUUGUCCCAGAAGGCUUUAUGUGAAUGAAAUUUGUUAUACAUCUAAAGAAGGGCCUCGGUUUUAGGUUAGGGGACUGCAUAGUGUGAGACAGAGGCAUUGUGUGAAGGAGACAGAACCAAGGGGCCUAAGGGGCAGGACAGAACAUUGGGUACCACCGAUUCCCAAAGAGAACCAAAAAGGCUCAAGGCAGUUUCACCUAGAUCUCAGAGGCUAGGAGAUUUCUGUUAUUUCUGUAGUAUGUCAAAUGAAUUUAAUCUUCAUCCAUUUAUUUUCUCAUGUUAAUUUCAUUUUCUCUGCCUGAAAAUACUCCAGUUUCAACAUUUGUACAUACUGAAAUCUUGCUCAACUCAAAAAUACCUCCAUUGGGGUCAAAUCCCAUUGAUCGUUCCAGCAUGAAAUGAACUUUCAUCUAUUGCCUGUAUGUCUUUUUGUUGUUGUUGUUGCAAAAGUUCCUGGGCCAGGGAUUGAAACUGUGGCACAUCAGUGACCUGAACCAAAGCAGUGACAAUGCAGGAUCCUUAACCCACUGCGCCACAAGAUAGCUCCUCAAGUUGUGUUUUAAGCUUCCAGAAAACAGAGAUUUCUUGAAUUUUUAAAAUAAGUAACUUAUAUAGUCUUCCAUAGGAAGUCCUCUUCCUUUGGCUUGCUAACCUCUAGAUUGACUCACUCUCCUUCAUGGUCACUCAUCAUUAGUUUAUGUAUUUUCACAUAUUCAAGUUUAUGACAAGUUGGUAUUUGAUCAAAUUUAAGCCCCUUGAAAUAAAAAUUAAUAUCAAAAUGAUAUACAUUAUUUCUGUCAGAAUUAAA
Molecule: long non-coding RNA, 3425 nt
Filed under: Sus scrofa (pig)
Lineage: Eukaryota; Metazoa; Chordata; Mammalia; Artiodactyla; Suidae
Description: lncRNA (ENSSSCG00040029269.1)
Source: RNAcentral